GGGGUGUUGGCGUAGCUCAGAUGGUAGAGCGCUCGCUUAGCGUGCGAGAGGUACUGGGAUCGAUACCCAGCGCCUCCA
Non-coding RNA from Schistocerca gregaria, 78 nucleotides. NCBI's taxonomy places the organism in Eukaryota, Metazoa, Arthropoda, Insecta, Orthoptera, Acrididae. The record is from the annotation of a RefSeq genome assembly.